This 392-nucleotide long non-coding RNA is filed under the name Aquilegia coerulea. RNAcentral's name for it is "long non-coding RNA (ACOE_LNC002280)". Lineage: Eukaryota; Viridiplantae; Streptophyta; Magnoliopsida; Ranunculales; Ranunculaceae. The record is from RNAcentral.
GGGCAGUUCGCGCCUGCGGCUGGGAUCGCUCCUUCUUCUUCGGGCAGCUCUUUCGGCGUCUGGGAUCGCCCCUUUGUCUCCCGGUUUUCCCCUUUGUGUGCCCGCCUUCUAAAGUUCGUCCGGCCAAGUUCGUCCGGCCCUGCCCGUCGCAAUGUAACAAUCUGCCCUGAUCCAGUACAAACUACAAAGGUGUAAAAGUUAUCUUUAUCUCCUCUUCUCUCUCCUGCUUGCUGCCCUAUUUUCUCUUCUCUCCUCUUCUCUUUUAUAUCUUCUCAAAUUCCAUCAAUCUUCUCCUCAAAUUCCAUCAAUCUUCUCCAUCAUAUCGGAACUCAACAGGUUAUCUUUAUCUCCUCUUCUCUCUCCUGUUUGCUGCCCUAUUUUCUCUUCCAUCA